RNAcentral lists this transfer RNA (87 nucleotides) under Malacoplasma sp. RNAcentral's name for it is "tRNA-Leu". It matches the Rfam family "tRNA". From Rfam's summary of the family: Transfer RNA (tRNA) molecules are approximately 80 nucleotides in length. Their secondary structure includes four short double-helical elements and three loops (D, anti-codon, and T loops). The record is from RNAcentral. Lineage: Bacteria; Bacillati; Mycoplasmatota; Mycoplasmoidales; Mycoplasmoidaceae.
GCCUCUAUGGUGAAAUUGGUAGACGCGCUGGACUCAAAAUCCAGUAGUAGCAAUACUGUGUCGGUCCGAGUCCGACUAGAGGCACCA